This 952-nucleotide ribosomal RNA is filed under the name uncultured bacterium. RNAcentral's name for it is "bacterial SSU rRNA". It matches the Rfam family "Bacterial small subunit ribosomal RNA", at positions 9 to 1007 of the family's 1533-position model. The record is from RNAcentral.
GAGUUUGAUCCUGGCUCAGAGCGAACGCUGGCGGCAGGCUUAACACAUGCAAGUCGAGCGGGCGUAGCAAUACGUCAGCGGCAGACGGGUGAGUAACGCGUGGGAACGUACCUUUUGGUUCGGAACAACACAGGGAAACUUGUGCUAAUACCGGAUAAGCCCUUACGGGGAAAGAUUUAUCGCCGAAAGAUCGGCCCGCGUCUGAUUAGCUAGUUGGUAGGGUAAUGGCCUACCAAGGCGACGAUCAGUAGCUGGUCUGAGAGGAUGAUCAGCCACAUUGGGACUGAGACACGGCCCAAACUCCUACGGGAGGCAGCAGUGGGGAAUAUUGGACAAUGGGCGCAAGCCUGAUCCAGCCAUGCCGCGUGAGUGAUGAAGGCCCUAGGGUUGUAAAGCUCUUUUGUGCGGGAAGAUAAUGACGGUACCGCAAGAAUAAGCCCCGGCUAACUUCGUGCCAGCAGCCGCGGUAAUACGAAGGGGGCUAGCGUUGCUCGGAAUCACUGGGCGUAAAGGGUGCGUAGGCGGGUCUUUAAGUCAGGGGUGAAAUCCUGGAGCUCAACUCCAGAACUGCCUUUGAUACUGAGGAUCUUGAGUUCGGGAGAGGUGAGUGGAACUGCGAGUGUAGAGGUGAAAUUCGUAGAUAUUCGCAAGAACACCAGUGGCGAAGGCGGCUCACUGGCCCGAUACUGACGCUGAGGCACGAAAGCGUGGGGAGCAAACAGGAUUAGAUACCCUGGUAGUCCACGCCGUAAACGAUGAAUGCCAGCCGUUAGUGGGUUUACUCACUAGUGGCGCAGCUAACGCUUUAAGCAUUCCGCCUGGGGAGUACGGUCGCAAGAUUAAAACUCAAGGAAUUGACGGGGGCCCGCACAAGCGGUGGAGCAUGUGGUUUAAUUCGACGCAACGCGCAGAACCUUACCAGCCCUUGACAUGUCUGGGACCGGUCGCAGAG